GUAGCUUCACAUAGAUAUUAGAAGAAGGAUAUGUACAAGAAUUAUAAUGACUUUUCUAAGAUAGCUUAAUUGAACUGAACAACUGAUAUAAAAAAUAAGCCUCAUGUAAGAAAGUCACACUGUUCUUUGGCUCAAUAAAUCCUGUUUUAAAAAGAAUUGUUUUCUAUGGACCCUGUCCUAGAACCCUCACAUACUACAACAUUUUCAAUGUAAUUCCAUUUAGAUCCAGAUUUUUAAUGUUAGUUUAACCGCAGUUCAGAGCUAAUCUCAUUUCUCUUUUAGAAAGCACAUAUCAAGACAAUUUUCUAUUGGAGCAGCUUCUAGAGGUCACACAACAAAUUCUGUUUCUGGUCUUUCUCUCCUUGUUCAACCUUAUUCUUUGACCUAAAUACACUUCUGUUGGACUCUAAGAUUCAGAACAUCUGUCUACAACCUUUUGCAGAUUCCCUCUGGAGGCCCAUUUUUGCAGCUUAUUGUAUAUUGCUAACCACAGUAGAAGCCAUGAACACAUCUAGUUUCCCUACAGGUCCCAGACUCCCUGAUUGUCAGUGACAGCGAUUUAUGCUCUUAUGACCACUCACUGCUAUAAUGUAUUUAGAUUUUAUGUCAUUAACUCAUGGAUCCAGUGAUGUUUGUGUAAUUCAACUGAGUGGACAAUUGUCUUUGUUUAAAACAUUUUCAAAAACUUUUUCUCUUUACAUUUUUCAGAGCUCCAGACCCCUGAAAGUCAUAAUGCUUAUUCAUAUGAAUUGGACCCAGCAAUGUUACAAGCUGAGGCAGAUGUGGUGUCAAACACCAGAAAAGCAUCUUAGGGCUCUAAAGACAGAGAAGGAAAGAGAGGAGGGAAGAGAGAGAAGGAUUGAUUCUGUUUCCUCCCACUCCAUCAAGGACAUAAUGCUGUAUCUCCCCUGUCUCCUAAGAUAGCAGUUUGGGAAAGCUAAAUUGAGUGCAUGGUUGCUUCCAAACGUGUCUUCCAGUAUAUGAAGGCUAGUUAUGUAGAAUAAUAUAACAAAUUAGUCUGUAUAUUCUUAGUGUACAGGAUAAGAGAAUAUAGGCUUAUAAAACAAAAAUUGUAGUAUCCUAAAUCAAUAACAGGUGGCACAUGAAUAUUUUCAAAAGAAUUUGGAAAAAUAUGAGAAAAGACUAUGAACCAAGGACUAAAUUUACAUUUUUGUAAAGAUUAUUGUAUAUCAUUUCAUUUUAUGUCAUUUUACUAUUUUAUAACAAUCUGUUUACACUAAUAAAUGCAAAUAUCUGCUAACA
Molecule: long non-coding RNA, 1263 nt
Filed under: Vulpes vulpes (red fox)
Lineage: Eukaryota; Metazoa; Chordata; Mammalia; Carnivora; Canidae
Description: lncRNA (ENSVVUG00000003560.1)
Source: RNAcentral